RNAcentral lists this transfer RNA (63 nucleotides) under Stegodyphus mimosarum. It matches the Rfam family "tRNA". Rfam says of the family: Transfer RNA (tRNA) molecules are approximately 80 nucleotides in length. Their secondary structure includes four short double-helical elements and three loops (D, anti-codon, and T loops). Lineage: Eukaryota; Metazoa; Arthropoda; Arachnida; Araneae; Eresidae. The record is from Rfam by way of RNAcentral.
GCCUUCGUGGUGUAGUGGUCAGCACGCUCGACGAAGUCCAUGGUUCGAUUCCCGGCGAAAGCG